Molecule: long non-coding RNA, 520 nt
Filed under: Elaeis guineensis (African oil palm)
Lineage: Eukaryota; Viridiplantae; Streptophyta; Magnoliopsida; Arecales; Arecaceae
Description: long non-coding RNA (EGUI_LNC059861)
Source: RNAcentral
ACUUGCAAGCAACUCACUGUGCUUUGGUACUGGACUAACUGAAUUUUUAAUUCAAGGAUGGAAGGCUUCUGGGCACAUUCAAGUACUUGCAAAGUCAGAGUGUGAUCGAGAUGGGAUUGACCACUCCAAGAGUUGGAGAAGAAUGAGUCACUGUAUUUCAAUUUAGCAAAAUCUUGGCCAGGGUAAUCCAUCAGAUGGAUUUGAUAUUUUGAAAUACAAUGUGGACAACCUGAUCAGAGUUGAUAGUUAAACUCUGGGGUGUCCUAUGAUCAUUUUGGUCAAGGAGAUGAAUUAUAUGAAAACUAUAUCUGCAUGGGUUCUAAGGAUGUUGUUCUACACAUUCGACCUAUCCGGUCGUCGGGUACCAUUGCUAGAUUGUCACUUCGAUUGGUAUAGAAAUUUGUUUCUAUGCUACCGGCUUAGGUUCGGACCUAUGAGAUCACACACAUUAGAGUUCAUGAUCCGAUCAGAUGGUUGAUCAACGAUUAAGAAUCAUUCUAGGGUUAAAUGAUCAAUACGA